GCUGGACUUGUGAUUGUGCUAAGAAAGAGUGCUUGCUAUACUUCAAGAGCUUCAGAAAAUCAGAUUCUUUGAUACGCUUUGGCUGUCGGAAAUAGUUCAACUUCAGGUCAUCCAGCUGCACACAGAACAGAUCUGGUCCAUCAGAGACAGCGAUGGUAUCAGUAUGAUAAGGAAUAUUAGUUCUGAAUAUAAGUGAUUUUUCC
This 203-nucleotide long non-coding RNA is filed under the name Gallus gallus (chicken). Lineage: Eukaryota; Metazoa; Chordata; Aves; Galliformes; Phasianidae. The record is from RNAcentral.